AGAGUUUGAUCCUGGCUCAGGAUGAACGCUAGCGGCGGGCCUAAUACAUGCAAGUCGAACGGUGCAGCAAUGCAUAGUGGCAGACGGGUGCGUAACGCGUAUGCAACCUACCUUUUAUCGGGGGACAACAUUUCGAAAGAAGUGCUAAUACCGCGUAAGAUAGUGGUGGGACAUCCCACAGCUAUUAAACUUUCGGGGAUAGAAGAUGGGCAUGCGUCUGAUUAGCUAGUUGGCGGGGUAACGGCCCACCAAGGCGACGAUCAGUAGGGGAACUGAGAGGUUGAUCCCCCACACUGGCACUGAGAUACGGGCCAGACUCCUACGGGAGGCAGCAGUAGGGAAUAUUGGGCAAUGGACGGAAGUCUGACCCAGCCACGCCGCGUGCAGGAGGAAGGCGCUCUGCGUUGUAAACUGCUUUAGCAGGGGAAGAAAAGACUCAUGCGUGAGGAAUUGACGGUACCCUGAGAAUAAGCACCGGCUAACUACGUG
This 489-nucleotide ribosomal RNA is filed under the name uncultured bacterium. Its description in RNAcentral is "bacterial SSU rRNA". It matches the Rfam family "Bacterial small subunit ribosomal RNA", at positions 8 to 507 of the family's 1533-position model. The record is from RNAcentral.